Molecule: ribosomal RNA, 2896 nt
Filed under: Clostridioides difficile
Lineage: Bacteria; Bacillati; Bacillota; Clostridia; Peptostreptococcales; Peptostreptococcaceae
Description: 23S ribosomal RNA
Rfam family: Bacterial large subunit ribosomal RNA
Source: RNAcentral
UCAAGUUAUUAAGGGUGCAGGGCGGAUGCCUUGGCACUAGGAGCCGAUGAAGGACGUGAUAAGCUGCGAUAAGCUUCGGGGAGUUGCACGUAAACUUUGAUCCGAAGAUUUCCGAAUGAGGAAACUCACUUAGAGUAAUGUCUAAGUAUCAUUAAGUGAAUACAUAGCUUAAUGAGGGGAACUCAGGGAACUGAAACAUCUAAGUACCUGAAGGAAGAGAAAGAAAUUCGAUUCCGUAAGUAGCGGCGAGCGAACGCGGAUUAGCCCAAACCAAUAAAGUUUUCUUUAUUGGGGUUGCGGACAUAUCAUAACGAAGAGGUAUCGUAAUUGAAGAGGUUUGGAAAGACCCACCACAGAAGGUAAUAGUCCUGUAUGUUAAACGAGAAGACUUCAGAUAUGAUCCAGAGUACCACGGGACACGUGAAACCCUGUGGGAAGCAGGAGGGACCACCCUCCAAGGCUAAAUACUACCUAGUGACCGAUAGCGUAUAGUACCGUGAGGGAAAGGUGAAAAGAACCCCGGGAGGGGAGUGAAAUAGAACCUGAAACCCUGCACUUACAAGCUGUGGAAGCACAUUUCUUGUGUGACCGCGUACUUUUUGUAGAACGGGCCAACGAGUUACGUUAAGUAGCAAGGUUAAGCACUUAAGGUGUGGAGCCGUAGCGAAAGCGAGUUUUAACUGAGCGUUCAGUUACUUGACGUAGACCCGAAACCGGGCGACCUACCCAUGAGCAGGAUGAAGCGAAAGUAAAAUUUCGUGGAGGUCCGAACCCACGAGCGUUGAAAAGCUCGGGGAUGACUUGUGGGUAGCGGUGAAAUUCCAAUCGAGCCCGGAGAUAGCUGGUUCUCCCCGAAAUAGCUUUAGGGCUAGCCUCAAGGUGAGAGAUACGGAGGUAGAGCACUGAAUGUCCUAGGGGGUAUUGCACCUACCGAAGACUAUCAAACUCCGAAUGCCGUCAUCUUAUACUUGGGAGUCAGACUGUGGGUGAUAAGAUUCAUAGUCGAAAGGGCAACAGCCCAGAUCGUCAGCUAAGGUCCCUAAAUGUAAGUUAAGUGGUAAAGGAUGUGGGAUUGCACAGACAACCAGGAUGUUGGCUUAGAAGCAGCCACUCAUUCAAAGAGUGCGUAAUAGCUCACUGGUCGAGUGAUCCUGCGCCGAAGAUUUCCGGGGCUAAAACUUACUACCGAAGCUACGGCAUCAGUAAUGAUGGGUAGGGGAGCUUCCCAUACGGGUUGAAGCAUGACCGUAAGGACAUGUGGACAGUAUGGGAGUGAGAAUGUUGGCAUGAGUAGCGAGAUGUGGGUGAGAAUCCCACAGGCCGUAAACCCAAGGUUUCCAGGGGAAGGUUCGUCCGCCCUGGGUUAGUCGGGACCUAAGCUGAGGCCGAAAGGCGUAGGUGAUGGACAACAGGUUGAUAUUCCUGUACUACCGAUAACCGUUUGAGAGAAGGGAUGACACAGUAGGAUAAGCUAAGCACACUGUUGGUUAUGUGUGCCCAAGCAUUGAGGCAGUCAAAGUAGGCAAAUCCGCUUUGAUAAUGCUGGGAUGUGAUGGGGAGCGAAAUUUAGUAGCGAAGUAGCUGAUUUCACACUGUCAAGAAAAGUCUCUAUCGAGGUUAAAGGUACCCGUACCGCAAACCGACACAGGUGGGUGAGGAGAGUAUCCUAAGGCCAGCGAGAGAACUGUUGUUAAGGAACUCGGCAAAAUGACCCCGUAACUUAGGGAUAAGGGGUGCCACCAUCAGGUGGCCGCAGAGAAUAGGCCCAAGCGACUGUUUACCAAAAACAUAGGUUUCUGCUAAGUCGCAAGACGAUGUAUAGGAGCUGACGCCUGCCCGGUGCUGGAAGGUUAAGGGGAUCUGUUAGAGCAAUCGAAGCAGUGAACUUAAGCCCCAGUAAACGGCGGCCGUAACUAUAACGGUCCUAAGGUAGCGAAAUUCCUUGUCGGGUAAGUUCCGACCCGCACGAAAGGCGUAACGAUUUGGGCACUGUCUCAACAACAGACUCGGUGAAAUUGUAAUUCCGGUGAAGAUGCCGGAUACCUGCGACAGGACGGAAAGACCCCAUGGAGCUUUACUGUAGCUUGACAUUGGGUCUUGGUACUACAUGUACAGGAUAGGUGGGAGGCUUUGAAACCAGGACGCCAGUUUUGGCGGAGCCAUCCUUGGGAUACCACCCUUGUAGUACUGGGACUCUAACCAUAGGCCAUGAAUCUGGUCUUGGGACACUGUCAGGUGGGCAGUUUGACUGGGGCGGUCGCCUCCCAAAAGGUAACGGAGGCGCUCAAAGGUUCUCUCAGUACGGUCGGAAAUCGUACGUAGAGUGUAAAGGCAAAAGAGAGCUUGAUUGCAAGACAUACAGGUCGAGCAAGGAUGAAAAUCGGACUUAGUGAUCCGGUGGUUCUGCGUGGAAGGGCCAUCGCUCAACGGAUAAAAGCUACCCUGGGGAUAACAGGCUUAUCUCCCCCAAGAGUCCACAUCGACGGGGAGGUUUGGCACCUCGAUGUCGGCUCAUCACAUCCUGGGGCUGUAGUAGGUCCCAAGGGUUGGGCUGUUCGCCCAUUAAAGUGGUACGCGAGCUGGGUUCAGAACGUCGUGAGACAGUUCGGUCCCUAUCCGUCGCAGGCGUAGGAAAUUUGAGAAGACCUGUCCUUAGUACGAGAGGACCGGGAUGGACGUACCUCUGGUGUACCAGUUGUUCUGCCAAGGGCAUGGCUGGGUAGCUAUGUACGGAAUGGAUAAGCGCUGAAAGCAUCUAAGCGCGAAGCCAACUUCAAGAUAAGAUUUCCCACAGCAAGGGUAAGACCCCAGAAAGACUAUCUGGUUGAUAGGUCGAAGGUGUAAGUGCAGCAAUGUAUUUAGCUUAUCGAUACUAAUAGGUCGAGGACUUGACCAA